GCGGAGUAGCUCAGUUGGUAGAGCGGUGGAAUCAUAAUCCAUGUGUCGGGGGUUCGAUCCCCUCCUCCG
Molecule: transfer RNA, 69 nt
Filed under: bovine gut metagenome
Rfam family: tRNA
About the family: Transfer RNA (tRNA) molecules are approximately 80 nucleotides in length. Their secondary structure includes four short double-helical elements and three loops (D, anti-codon, and T loops).
Source: RNAcentral